GGCCUCCCAUUCUGACUCUUCGGUACACCCUACCCACCUUGCUCUGACUGUAACAAUGGAUGACUAAAGGUUUCCGGUAUUCUCAGAUUGAAAACUUGUACGCACUCUUAAAGCCAUAAUCAUCCGCUCUGGUAGGUUGCGAAGUUCUGCUGAGGAAACGCAUCCAGUUUUGACACUUCUGACAAGGUGUCACUCCGUUGGUGAGGAAAAAAUUCUGAAAACACCAUUAGGCAUGAGGACUCAGAGGUCUGUCGUGAGUCGGAGACAGGUCCUGACUCAGAGACAGGUCCUAACUCGGAGACAGGUCCUGACUCUGACGCAGGUCCCGUCUCAGAGGUCUGUUCUGACUCUGAGGCAGGUCCUGAUGCAGAGACAGUUUCUAACUCUG
Poecilia latipinna (sailfin molly) is the source of this 388-nucleotide long non-coding RNA. RefSeq lists it as uncharacterized. Lineage: Eukaryota; Metazoa; Chordata; Actinopteri; Cyprinodontiformes; Poeciliidae. The record is from RefSeq and is a predicted model, not a curated record. The transcript has 3 exons.